Molecule: small nuclear RNA, 102 nt
Filed under: Callithrix jacchus (white-tufted-ear marmoset)
Lineage: Eukaryota; Metazoa; Chordata; Mammalia; Primates; Cebidae
Source: RNAcentral
GUUUGCUUCAGCAGUGCAGAUACUAAAAUUGAAAUGAUACAGAAAGCAGCAUGGUCCUUGGGCGAGAAUGGCAGGCAAAUGCAUGAGGCAUUCCAUAUUUUU